RNAcentral lists this ribosomal RNA (477 nucleotides) under uncultured anaerobic ammonium-oxidizing bacterium. Its description in RNAcentral is "bacterial SSU rRNA". It matches the Rfam family "Bacterial small subunit ribosomal RNA", at positions 365 to 832 of the family's 1533-position model. The record is from RNAcentral.
UUCGCAAUGCCCGAAAGGGUGACGAAGCGACGCCGCGUGUGGGAAGAAGGCCUUCGGGUUGUAAACCACUGUCGGGAGUUAAGAAAUGCAAGGAUAUUAAUAGUAUCUUUGCUUGACUAAGGCUCCGGAGGAAGCCACGGCUAACUCUGUGCCAGCAGCCGCGGUAAUACAGAGGCGGCAAGCGUUGUUCGGAAUUAUUGGGCGUAAAGAGCACGUAGGCGGCUAUGUAAGUCGGUUGUGAAAGCCUUCCGCUCAACGGAAGAACAGCAUCCGAUACUGCAUGGCUUGAGUGCGGGAGGGGAGAGUGGAACUUCUGGUGGAGCGGUGAAAUGCGUAGAUAUCAGAAGGAACGCCGGCGGCGAAAGCGGCUCUCUGGCCCAUAACUGACGCUGAGUGUGCGAAAGCUAGGGGAGCAAACGGGAUUAGAUACCCCGGUAGUCCUAGCCGUAAACGAUGGGCACUAAGUAGAGGGGUUUU